GAUGAAGAACGCAGCGAAAUGCGAUAAGUAAUGUGAAUUGCAGAAUUCAGUGAAUCAUCGAGUCUUUGAACGCACAUUGCGCCCCCUGGUAUUCCGGGGGGCAUGCCUGUCCGAGCGUCAUUGCUGCCCUCAAGCACGGCUUGUGUGUUGGGCCCCCGUCCCCGGUUUCCCCCGGGGACGGGCCCGAAAGGCAGCGGCGGCACCGCGUCCGGUCCUCGAGCGUAUGGGGCUUUGUCACCCGCUCUGUAGGCCCGGCCGGCGCCAGCCGACACCCAACUUUAUUUCUAAGGUUGACCUCGGAUCAGGUAGGGAUACCCGCUGAACUUAAGCAUAUCAAUAAGCGGAGA
This 347-nucleotide unclassified non-coding RNA is filed under the name soil metagenome. RNAcentral's name for it is "partial contains 5.8S ribosomal RNA, internal transcribed spacer 2, and large subunit ribosomal RNA". The stretch from base 1 to 120 matches the Rfam family "5.8S ribosomal RNA", at positions 35 to 154 of the family's 154-position model. The record is from RNAcentral.